GAUGAACGCUAGCGGGAGGCUUAACACAUGCAAGUCGAGGGGUACGGUAGCAAUACUGGAGACCGGCGCACGGGUGAGUAACGCGUAUGCAACCUGCCCUUUACAGGGGGAUAGCCCGUCGAAAGGCGGAUUAAUACCCCAUAAGAUAGUACCCUCGCAUGAGGGAGCUACUAAAGCUUCGGCGGUAAAGGAUGGGCAUGCGUGACAUUAGCUAGUUGGUAGGGUAACGGCCUACCAAGGCUACGAUGUCUAGGGGUUCUGAGAGGAAGGUCCCCCACACUGGUACUGAGACACGGACCAGACUCCUACGGGAGGCAGCAGUGAGGAAUAUUGGUCAAUGGGCGCGAGCCUGAACCAGCCAUCCCGCGUGCAGGAAGACGGCCCUAUGGGUUGUAAACUGCUUUUGUGCAGGAAGAAUGUGCCCAUCGUGAUGGGUAGUGACGGUACUGCAUGAAUAAGCACCGGCUAACUACGUG
RNAcentral lists this ribosomal RNA (476 nucleotides) under uncultured bacterium. Its description in RNAcentral is "bacterial SSU rRNA". It matches the Rfam family "Bacterial small subunit ribosomal RNA", at positions 28 to 507 of the family's 1533-position model. The record is from RNAcentral.